This 582-nucleotide ribosomal RNA is filed under the name uncultured bacterium. Its description in RNAcentral is "partial 16S ribosomal RNA". It matches the Rfam family "Bacterial small subunit ribosomal RNA", at positions 357 to 1375 of the family's 1533-position model. The record is from RNAcentral.
UGGGAAUUUGGACAAUGGGCGAAAGCCUGAUCCAGCAAUGCCGCGUGUGUGAAGAAGGCCUUCGGGUUGUAAAGCACUUUUGUCCGGAAAGAAAUCCUUGGCUCUAAUACAGUCGGGGGAUGACGGUACCGGAAGAAUAAGCACCGGCUAACUACGUGCCAGCAGCCGCGGUAAUACGUAGGGUGCAAGCGUUAAUCGGAAUUACUGGGCGUAAAGCGUGCGCAGGCGGUUUGCUAAGACCGAUGUGAAAUCCCCGGGCUCAACCUGGGAACUGCAUUGGUGACUGGCAGGCUAGAGUAUGGCAGAGGGGGGUAGAAUUCCACGUGUAGCAGUGAAAUGCGUAGAGAUGUGAGGAAUACCGAUGGCGAAGGCAGCCCCCUGGGCAAUACUGACGCUCAUGCACGAAAGCGUGGGGAGCAAACAGGAUUAGAUACCCUGGUAGUCCACGCCCUAAAACGAUGUCAACUAGUUGUUGGGGAUUCAUUUCCUUAGUAACGUAGCUAACGCGUGAAGUUGACCGCCUGGGGAGUACGGUCGCAAGAUUAAAACUCAAAGGAAUUGACGGGGUCAUAGCUGUUUCCU